Molecule: microRNA precursor, 76 nt
Filed under: Myotis lucifugus (little brown bat)
Lineage: Eukaryota; Metazoa; Chordata; Mammalia; Chiroptera; Vespertilionidae
Description: mir-9229 microRNA precursor family
Rfam family: mir-9229 microRNA precursor family
Source: Rfam by way of RNAcentral
GAAACACCCCUCCGGGGCAAGACUUGCUUCAGUGGGGCUUUGGUGCUCACUGAGUCUGCCCCAUGAGUGUAUCCUU